CAAGCGCUGGCAUUUGCAAUGACUCUCUGGGCUGCAGCUGCAGGACGGGACCGGGGAACACAGCGCAGCUCACUUGCCCAGACAGUUCUGAGCCCAGACCCUUGAGACUGUAUCCAACCAGCUGAGCUAACUGGACCCGGAGAAAUCUACCAGGAAACAGUGCAGGAAGAAAAAUAAAGGUCUCUCAAGUCAAACAAAGCUAGUAACCCACAGAGCAUAGGGUCCCGAAGAUUUUGCCCUGACCACGGAGUGGGAGAAGCGUUUCGUGGCCGGGAAGAUAUGCCAGGGAAGAUGUCUGGGGCGGGGAUAAAGCAUAAAAUGGUCCCUUCUAAGCCGGGGAGCUGGGGAGCACAGCCACUGCAGGCCGCUGGGGGAACAGAACUCACUAGCCUGGGUUUUGUCUUUUACUUCUGGACAGGGGAGCCACAGACCCUCUGAUUGCCUUGAUUUAUUUAUCAGCAAGCAACUUCUGAAUUUCUCCCUGCGGGCUCCCUCUCCUGAAUCACCAACAUGGUCCCAAGUUUAGCGGGUAGAGGCAGAGGUGUUGGUGGCUGUGGCUCAGUGCCUCAAGAUGAGCCUGCCGUCAUACCCAGGGAACAAAUGCAAAUCGGCAACGUCUACUGCAGUACCACGGUAGUUGAGCUGGAUUUGUAAUCAAAGAAGAAAAUGUGAUGUUCACCAAAUAUUUGUCAGAUUAGAAAUUUCCAAAUCCUCCUGGAUUUAUGAUAACAUAAGAAAGAUGCUUCUAAUGACCUAAGUAAGCAGUGAAACAAAGCUGGUAUUAUGCAUCAAAUAAUUAUCUUCACCUAUGAUGGUGCAUCUGAAGACCCUGCAGAUGUUCCAGGCCUCCACCUACUCCUUUUAGAACUCAGAGUACGUGCCUCUGACAAAGACUUCUACCUGUCCCGUGGUGUCCUCCUCACUCCUCUUUGGCAGUAGAAGGCUGAAGUUAGCUGGACUCAUGGACAUCUCCUACACAGACUUCAUUUGUUUCCUGGUCUUUUUUAUAAGUAUGUUCCCUAGAGGAACAUACUUUUUUAUAAGUAUGUUCCCUAGAGGAACAGAAUCAACAGGAGGUAUAAUUAUAAGAAGGAUAUUUAUUAGAUCAGUUCGCCCAACCAAAAGCUGGACAGUCCACAGUGGCCGUCUGCAGGCUGGAGAGCUGGAGGAACCAUAGCUGCAAAGUACAAGAAGCAGAAGCCCCAGAACAAGAAGGAUCAACAGUUCUACCCUAGCACAAGACCGAAGGCUUCUGGAAAACUCCCUGGAGAAUUACUGGUGGAGUUCCCUUUGGGAAAGUGAAGAAUCGAGAGGAUCACAGCAGCAAUCAAGAACCCAUUCAAGGGGCUGGGGUUGGGGCUCAGUGGUAGAGUACUUGCCUAGUAUGUGGG
Molecule: long non-coding RNA, 1391 nt
Filed under: Marmota monax (woodchuck)
Lineage: Eukaryota; Metazoa; Chordata; Mammalia; Rodentia; Sciuridae
Source: RNAcentral